This 216-nucleotide long non-coding RNA is filed under the name Scleropages formosus (Asian bonytongue). Its description in RNAcentral is "lncRNA (ENSSFOG00015032164.1)". The record is from RNAcentral. Lineage: Eukaryota; Metazoa; Chordata; Actinopteri; Osteoglossiformes; Osteoglossidae.
UGAAAACAAACCAUGGGUGGCCUUUCUUCAUCCUGAAGAAGAGCGUUCCUGGCUGACAGCCCUGCCAGAUGCUGUGCACGGCGGACAGUGGCAUCGAAGGCUCUAUUUUCAGAGACAGCAGCAAUGUGGGGCACCAUCCUGCUAGGAUGAAUGGAGUGUGAACCCCUGAUGACCUUUCCCUAAUUGAAGUCUGCAAGAGUCACAACCUGGCAAAGC